UCCGAACAUCUCACAAGGGCGG
Molecule: non-coding RNA, 22 nt
Filed under: Arabidopsis thaliana (thale cress)
Lineage: Eukaryota; Viridiplantae; Streptophyta; Magnoliopsida; Brassicales; Brassicaceae
Source: RNAcentral